Small nuclear RNA from Vombatus ursinus (common wombat), 107 nucleotides. The record is from Ensembl. NCBI's taxonomy places the organism in Eukaryota, Metazoa, Chordata, Mammalia, Diprotodontia, Vombatidae.
AUGCUCUCGUUGGCAGCACAUACAUUAAAACUGAAAUAAUACUGAGAAGAUUAGCAUGGCCCCUGCACAAAGAUGACGGGCAAAUUCAUGAAAUAUUCCAUAUUUUG